RNAcentral lists this ribosomal RNA (425 nucleotides) under uncultured bacterium. Its description in RNAcentral is "bacterial SSU rRNA". It matches the Rfam family "Bacterial small subunit ribosomal RNA", at positions 354 to 796 of the family's 1533-position model. The record is from RNAcentral.
GUGGGGAAUAUUGGACAAUGGGGGAAACCCUGAUCCAGCAAUGCCGCGUGAGUGAUGAAGGCCUUCGGGUUGUAAAGCUCUUUUAUCAGGGAAGAUAAUGACGGUACCUGAUGAAUAAGCUCCGGCUAACUUCGUGCCAGCAGCCGCGGUAAUACGAAGGGAGCUAGCGUUGUUCGGAAUUACUGGGCGUAAAGGGCGCGUAGGCGGCCUUGUAAGUUAGAUGUGAAAGCCCCGGGCUUAACCUGGGAACUGCAUUUAAGACUGCAAAGCUAGAGGACGAGAGAGGAAAGUGGAAUUAUGAGUGUAGAGGUGAAAUUCGUAGAUAUUCAUAAGAACACCAGUGGCGAAGGCGACUUUCUGGCUCGUAUCUGACGCUAAGGCGCGAAAGCGUGGGGAGCAAACAGGAUUAGAAACCCGGGUAGUCC